RNAcentral lists this ribosomal RNA (387 nucleotides) under uncultured bacterium. RNAcentral's name for it is "bacterial SSU rRNA". It matches the Rfam family "Bacterial small subunit ribosomal RNA", at positions 30 to 419 of the family's 1533-position model. The record is from RNAcentral.
AUUGAACGCUGGCGGCAUGCCUUACACAUGCAAGUCGAACGGCAGCGGACCCUCGGGUGCCGGCGAGUGGCGAACGGGUGAGUAAUAUAUCGGAACGUACCUUUCAGUGGGGGAUAACGUAGCGAAAGUUACGCUAAUACCGCAUAUUCUGUGAGCAGGAAAGCAGGGGAUCGCAAGACCUUGCGCUGAUUGAGCGGCCGAUAUCAGAUUAGCUAGUUGGUGAGGUAAAGGCUCACCAAGGCGACGAUCUGUAGCGGGUCUGAGAGGAUGAUCCGCCACACUGGAACUGAGACACGGUCCAGACUCCUACGGGAGGCAGCAGUGGGGAAUUUUGGACAAUGGGCGCAAGCCUGAUCCAGCCAUGCCGCGUGAGUGAAGAAGGCCUGG